Molecule: long non-coding RNA, 815 nt
Organism: Leopardus geoffroyi (Geoffroy's cat)
Lineage: Eukaryota; Metazoa; Chordata; Mammalia; Carnivora; Felidae
Exons: 3
Source: RefSeq, a predicted model, not a curated record
GGUCAGCUGAGAGGGAGGGGAACGCUGAAUUGUGAUGGAGAAAAUCCUUAUUUUAAUCACAAAUGUGUAUAAGAACUGGAAAGACAAUAUGAAAAGGCAGGUCAAGGAAGCUGCGUUUGAACAAGUGUUUUUGAUUAAGGAAGAUUGGUACUCAACUUUGUAAGGAUGCCAUGGGUGCCCUUCUCAGCACAGCACUAGAGAUUUGAAACAAAUCACCUGAACAGGGGAAAGGACUACAAGGAGUGUGCAUGAGCCUGAGGAAAAGAGCUGCCUUCUGCCCCGAAGAGCAGGAGUCCAUCUUCAGUGGGACACAUCUGUUGGCUUGUCUGCCCACGCUUCCCCUCUCUGGGAUUUGCUCGCCCGGCUACAUGUUUAUGAGGACAGCCGUGGUCAUGCAAUGUCCCUUUGGUUUUGGGGGGAUUUGGAAGGGGUAUCUGUUAGAGGCAAACAGCCACUCUGUCCUGGGAGAUUUUGACUUUCUCUUUUUCAUGCGUUUUUGCUUUUAUCAAAGUAGGUAAUCUGCUACUGGCCAGAUACACAACUGCAUUUGGAUACUGUAGUGGGGUCCAAGGACUACCCAAACCACUGCCUGGGAAUGCCAGUUUCUCAUAACGAGUUAGAAAUCAAUGCUAGCAGCUUCCCUGCUAAGUGAAAAAAUUACAUAAUUCCUUCUGCACCACUGCAUUAGGCAGAUUUUUUUUCUCUUUCUGAACAUACAGUAAAUCCCAAGUGUUUUAAGCCAUGGUACCUCUCUUUAAACACAAUAUGAAAUCACUACCAAAUUUAAAUAAAAAAUAAAUUCGAUGUAGCGCUAA